Molecule: unclassified non-coding RNA, 1181 nt
Filed under: Hevea brasiliensis (rubber tree)
Lineage: Eukaryota; Viridiplantae; Streptophyta; Magnoliopsida; Malpighiales; Euphorbiaceae
Source: RNAcentral
AGAAAACCUGCAUCUUGGGGCAUUGCCUCAGUAUUACUUGCGUCAAAGAAGGGAACUUGAAUAUGUGCUCUGCAGAGCAAAAGCGUACAAGGCUUGGCAAACAAUGAAUUCCCAAACUUUUUAAUUUGCAAAAGAUGAUAUCCUUUUCAUUUGCAACUAUUUCUGUCAACCCAUCACAUCCUUUUAUACCUAGUUCUGUGAGUUGCACCAGACUUUUUGCUGCAGAGCAUGUAACUAAGCUUGACAAUCCACUGCAAUUCUCUAUAUCCAAAUUUGUUAGAUUUUGGAAAGAAGCAAAGGAUGGCGCUAAACUGAUCAAAUUAUCACAUCCCUUUACUUUCAAAGUUUCAAGAUUUUGAAGCACUUGGUCCAACUGAGAGUGUUGGUUCCAUAUGUACUUUAGAUCAGGAAGAAGAUCCAACUCUAAGUAUCGUAUCUGUGCAAGAGAACUUGCAUGUUUCUCCUUAUCAACAAGUCCUUCAUAAGGGAACAACUCUUCGAAAUGACUACACCAUAUAACAAGUUUUUCCAUAUUGUAGAAUAAUUGGAGAAAAUCAAAUGGAAAAAUUGCAGAUUUGUCAUGAAAGUAAUUUAGUUGCACAACUUUUAGUUUGUGAAAGACGUCUGCUGGAAAAUGUCCUUCCAAAAUCAUUUUGGCAUGCUUGACUAUCAACGAUAAUAUCUCUAAGUUGGGGAUGAUCUGGAAACCAAUCAAACAAAAGAAAUAGUUGUGAUGCAUAGCAACUUAAUUGGGUAGACAUGUCACAAUUAGAAACUUUCUAUUGAAAAUAAAGUUCAUUAUGACAAGACUCAUGUGCAGAUAUCCUGCAAAAUUUGGGUUAAGGAAUACAUACCUUAUUAGGUGAGAAUAGUGGUUGUGGAAUUUGAAUCUCAAGUUGGCUCUCCAUAUGUGUUUCUUGCAACCUCUUAGUUUGUGAUGCAAAAAUCUCCAACCCUUCACAUCUAGCAGUCUUUCUAGCAAUGAACAGUCUAAGAUGUGAACUCCUGAGUAGAAACAUUUCAGUUCUUGUAAUCUUUGAAGUUCCAAAGACUUUAGUCCAGGAAAUACAAAUCUAGGAGUUGCUUCUCUUCCUUCUUUCUUUGCAACGAGUUCCUCUACUUCACAACCAUCUAUAUUAAAUGUUUCUAGUUGUGGGAGAUUUUUAGCUAUUGAAGCUGGG